AACGAACGCUGGCGGCGUGUUUAAGACAUGCAAGUCGCACGGGAUAAGACAUGUAGUAAUACUUGUUUUAUUUAGUGGCGCACGGGUGAGUAACACGUGAAUUACAUGCCCUAUAGUGGGGAAUAGCCCAGGGAAACUUGGAUUAAUACCCCAUGGUAUCGAAAGAUUAAAGGUGGCCGCAAGGCUGUCGCUAUAGGAUUGGUUCGCGCCCUAUAAGCUUGUUGGUGAGGUAACGGCUCACCAAGGCAAUGACGGGUACCUGGUCUGAGAGGACGAUCAGGUACACUGGAACUGAGACACGGUCCAGACACCUACGGGUGGCAGCAGUCGAGAAUAAUUCACAAUGGGGGCAACCCUGAUGGUGCAACGCCGCGUGGAGGAUGACGGUCUUCGGAUUGUAAACUCCUGUCAUCUGGGAGAAAGACCUGACGGUAAAUAGCCGGCAGGGUUGAUAGUACCAGAAGAGGAAGGGACGGCUAACUUCGUGCCAGCAGCCGCGGUAA
This 503-nucleotide ribosomal RNA is filed under the name uncultured bacterium. Its description in RNAcentral is "partial 16S ribosomal RNA". It matches the Rfam family "Bacterial small subunit ribosomal RNA", at positions 29 to 523 of the family's 1533-position model. The record is from RNAcentral.